UGGGGAAUAUUGGACAAUGGGCGAAAGCCUGGUCCAGCCAUGCCGCGUGUGUGAAGAAGGUCUUCGGAUUGUAAAGCACUUUAAGUUGGGAGGAAGGGCAGUAAGCGAAUACCUUGCUGUUUUGACGUUACCGACAGAAUAAGCACCGGCUAACUCUGUGCCAGCAGCCGCGGUAAUACAGAGGGUGCAAGCGUUAAUCGGAAUUACUGGGCGUAAAGCGCGCGUAGGUGGUUCGUUAAGUUGAAUGUGAAAGCCCCGGGCUCAACCUGGGAACUGCAUCCAAAACUGGCGAGCUAGAGUAGGGCAGAGGGUGGUGGAAUUUCCUGUGUAGCGGUGAAAUGCGUAGAUAUAGGAAGGAACACCAGUGGCGAAGGCGACCACCUGGGCUCAUACUGACACUGAGGUGCGAAAGCGUGGGGAGCAAACAGG
RNAcentral lists this ribosomal RNA (429 nucleotides) under Pseudomonadota bacterium. RNAcentral describes it as "Proteobacteria bacterium partial 16S ribosomal RNA". It matches the Rfam family "Bacterial small subunit ribosomal RNA", at positions 355 to 776 of the family's 1533-position model. Lineage: Bacteria; Pseudomonadati; Pseudomonadota. The record is from RNAcentral.